CGAGUGGCGAACGGUGAGUAAUAUAUCGGAACGUGCCCAGUCGUGGGGGAUAACGUAGCGAAAGCUACGCUAAUACCGCAUACGAUCUAUGGAUGAAAGCGGGGAUCGCAAGACCUCGCGCGAUUGGAGCGGCCGAUAUCAGAUUAGGUAGUUGGUGAGGUAAAGGCUCACCAAGCCGACGAUCUGUAGCUGGUCUGAGAGGACGACCAGCCACACUGGGACUGAGACACGGCCCAGACUCCUACGGGAGGCAGCAGUGGGGAAUUUUUGGACAAUGGGCGCCAAGCCCUGAUCCAGCAAUGCCGCGUGCAGGAUGAAGGCCUUCGGGUUGUAAACUGCUUUUGUACGGAACGAAACGGUGAGCUCUAAUACAGUUUGCUAAUGACGGUACCGUAAGAAUAAGCACCGGCUAACUACGUG
RNAcentral lists this ribosomal RNA (420 nucleotides) under uncultured bacterium. RNAcentral's name for it is "bacterial SSU rRNA". It matches the Rfam family "Bacterial small subunit ribosomal RNA", at positions 92 to 507 of the family's 1533-position model. The record is from RNAcentral.